AGAUCUAGUGGCGAACGGGUGAGGAACACGUGAGAAACGUACCCCAGACUCUGGGAUAACAAUUGGAAACGAUUGCUAAUACCGGAUGACGUCGGAGAACCGCAUGGUUCACUGACGAAAGAUAUUUCGGUUUGGGAGGGUCUCGCGGCCUAUCAGCUUGUUGGCGGGGUAAUGGCCCACCAAGGCAACGACGGGUAGCUGGUCUGAGAGGAUGGUCAGCCACACUGGGACUGAGAUACGGCCCAGAAUCC
This 251-nucleotide ribosomal RNA is filed under the name uncultured bacterium. Its description in RNAcentral is "partial 16S ribosomal RNA". It matches the Rfam family "Bacterial small subunit ribosomal RNA", at positions 88 to 339 of the family's 1533-position model. The record is from RNAcentral.